UCAAGCUAAUAAGGGCGCAAGGGGAAUGCCUUGGCAUUGGAAGCCGAUGAAGGACGUAGCGAUCUACGAAAAGCCACGGGGAGGCGAAAGCAGCCCUCGAUCCGUGGAUAUCCGAAUGGGGAAACCCGGCAGAGCAAUACUCUGUCAACCUCUUGUGAAUAAAAUAGCAAGUCGUGGGGAACCGCCUGAACUGAAACAUCUAAGUAGGGCGAGGAAAAGACAUCAACCGAGAUUCCGUAAGUAGUGGCGAGCGAACGCGGAAGAGGCCAAACCAAGAGUAGUAAUACUUUUGGGGUUCGGACUGCAACAUGUACUGGUAAGGUUAGUAGAAUGAGAUGGGAAGCUCAACCAUAGAGUGUGAGAGUCACGUACACGAAAACCGAGUCAGGCUAGCAGGAUCCAGAGUACCGCCGGACACGUGAAACCCGGUGGGAAUACGGGGGGACCACCCUCCAAGCCUAAAUACUCUCCAAUGACCGAUAGUGAAUAGUACUGUGAAGGAAAGGUGAAAAGAACCCCUGGCGGGGAGUGAAAUAGAACCUGAAACCUUGUGCCUACAAGCACAUAGAGCACAUCAACGUGUAAUAUGGUACCUUUUGUAGAAUGGUCCGGCGAGUGAAUGUCACUAGCGAGGUUAAGGACUUAAGGUCUGAAGCCGAAGCGAAAGCGAGUCUUAAUAGGGCGAUAAUAGUUAGUGGUAUUCGACCCGAAACCGAGUGACCUAGCCAUGAGCAGGCUGAAGUGGAGGUAAAACUCCAUGGAGGGCCGAACCCACUCCCGUUGAAAUGGUAGGGGAUGACUUGUGGCUAGCGGAGAAAUUCCAAUCGAACUCGGAGAUAGCUGGUUCUCUCCGAAAUAGCUUUAGGGCUAGCCUCAAUAUACAUUACCGCAGGUAAAGCACUGAAUGGGCUAGGGGGCGAAAGCUUACUGAACCCUAUCAAACUAAGAAUGGCGGAUAAUGAAAUAUUGGGAGUCACACUACGUGAGAUAAGUUUCGUGGUGGAAAGGGAAACAGCCCAGACCCACAGCUAAGGUCCCAAAGUACGGUUAAGUGGAAAAGGAUGUGGAAUUGCACAGACAACCAGGAUGUUGGCUCAGAAGCAGCCAUUCAUUCAAAGAGUGCGUAAUAGCUCACUGGUCGAGUGACUCUGCGCCGAAGAUUUAACGGGGCUAAAUCGUACACCGAAGCUUGGGAAUAUAUCGUAUGGUAUGUUGGUAGGAGAGCAUCGUAUGCGGGGUGAAGUCGUAGCGAAAGCGGCGGUGGACUGCAUAGGAGUGAGAAUGCCGGAAUGAGUAGCGAGAAUUAUGUGAGAAUCAUAAUGGCCGAAAGACUAAGGUUUUAGAAGGAAGGUUCGUCCGCUUCUAGUUAGCCGGGAGCUAAGGCGAGGCCGAGAGGCGUAGUCGAUGCACAUACGGUUGAGAAUCCGUAGCCACCUACGAUUUAAACUAAAGGACACAUCAAAAGGGCAUGACCCGGGCGUUGGUUGACCCGGGCGUAAGGGACCGAAAAUAAGUAGGGAAGCAUGCUUGGCUGGUGGCGAGAAAAGUUUAGUGUAUAUAAUGUAGGUGCCCGUACUGUAAACCGACACAGGUAGUCAGGAAGAGAAUUCUAAGGCCAUCGGGAGAAGCGUUGUUAAGGAACUCGGCAAAUUGAACCCGUAACUUCGGAAUAAGGGUUGCUCACGAGAGUGAGCCGCAGUGAAAAGGUCCAGGCAACUGUUUAUCAAAAACACAGCUCUCUGCUAAAUCGUAAGAUGACGUAUAGGGGGUGACACCUGCCCGGUGCUGGAAGGUUAAGAGGAUGGGUGCAAGCUCAGAAUUGAAGCCCCAGUAAACGGCGGCCGUAACUAUAACGGUCCUAAGGUAGCGAAAUUCCUUGUCGGGU
Molecule: ribosomal RNA, 1885 nt
Filed under: human gut metagenome
Description: bacterial LSU rRNA
Rfam family: Bacterial large subunit ribosomal RNA
Source: RNAcentral